RNAcentral lists this long non-coding RNA (702 nucleotides) under Panax ginseng (ginseng). Its description in RNAcentral is "long non-coding RNA (PGIN_LNC016084)". The record is from RNAcentral. Lineage: Eukaryota; Viridiplantae; Streptophyta; Magnoliopsida; Apiales; Araliaceae.
UUACAUGAAACAACUAACAUACACUCUUUUUAGUUUCUAUAAAGAUAUAUAUUAUUAACAUGUACAUUAUAUGUUGCUUGGCACCUGUCAUGUGUCGAGAAUUUUCUAUUUACACAUCUAAACAUACAUAUGUAUGUGAUUGUCCAAGGGCAAGAUCAUUUACAUACUACUAUUGUUCUCCUUCAAUUUGCAGAUGAAUUUUCUCUUUCUAAAAAAAAUCCUCCUGUUGAAGAAUCAGAUGAUGUUCCGAGGACUGUUACCAAGGAGAAUAAGGACUCUGAAAUUUCUCCACCUGAAGAAGAAGAAAAUAAGACUUCAAUCCCAUUAGCCAGAGGAAAAACUAAACAUGUCAAGUUUGAUAAGCUAAUAGAAGAAAGCGACGAUGACGAGGAUGUUAUAGAAUUGGAAUUUGAGAGGGAAAUUAAGAAGCUGGAUACUCAUACUAUGUAUUGUCCUAAUUGUAAUACUUCCAUAACCAAAGUUGUUCUUCACGAGGACCACCGUCUGCAGAUCGUAGUACUCAACAACACGAGUCAGUAGAUCUGUUUGGAUGUUCAUCUUGCUAUAGCUUGUUUGUUCCUUCAGGUACAAAUCCAGCCACAUGAUCAUUUACCAACUGUUCUAUACUUGGACUUAUUUAAUUGUUUUCUUCUUCUUCUUUUAAUCUAAAACAGCAAAUUGUUUCAGUUGGUUCUGGCUUUU